This 210-nucleotide long non-coding RNA is filed under the name Malus domestica (apple). RNAcentral's name for it is "long non-coding RNA (MDOM_LNC019514)". The record is from RNAcentral. Lineage: Eukaryota; Viridiplantae; Streptophyta; Magnoliopsida; Rosales; Rosaceae.
GAUUAUGCAUGGCAUGGGUGGAAAGGUGAGUAAGUGGUGAAUCAAUGAGUGCAAGGAAGUGGAAUGGUGCAGCAAAUGAGUGCAAGGAGGGAACAUGGAUGAAUGUGCACGACAUUGAGUGAUUUAUGGCAGAAAAUACAAAAGGAAUGUGCACAACAUGGAGUGAUAAGGCAAGUUUGACUAGUCUUUCCUCAUUCUUAAUGGUUUCCU